GAUGAAGAACGCGGCGAAAUGCGAUACUUGGUGUGAAUUGCAGAAUCCCGUGAACCAUCGAGUCUUUGAACGCAAGUUGCGCCCGAAGCCAUUAGGCCGAGGGCACGCCUGCCUGGGCGUCACACGUCGUUGCCCCCCCAUCUACUCCUUCGGGAUUGCGGGGGGCGGAUGAUGGCCUCCCGUGCGCCUCGCCGCGCGGUUGGCAUAAAUGCCAAGUCCUCGGCGACGCACGCCACGACAAUCGGUGGUUGCGAAACCUCGGUUGCCCGUCGUGUGCGGUCGUCGCGCAUCGAGGGCUCGAAAAAAUUGCCGGGUUCCGGCUCGGCUUUCAACGCGACCCCAGGUCAGGCGGGGUUACCCGCUGAAUUUAAGCAUAUCAAUAAGCGGAGGA
RNAcentral lists this unclassified non-coding RNA (391 nucleotides) under soil metagenome. RNAcentral describes it as "partial contains 5.8S ribosomal RNA, internal transcribed spacer 2, and large subunit ribosomal RNA". The stretch from base 1 to 122 matches the Rfam family "5.8S ribosomal RNA", at positions 35 to 154 of the family's 154-position model. The record is from RNAcentral.